RNAcentral lists this ribosomal RNA (266 nucleotides) under uncultured archaeon. RNAcentral describes it as "partial 16S ribosomal RNA". It matches the Rfam family "Archaeal small subunit ribosomal RNA", at positions 719 to 982 of the family's 1478-position model. The record is from RNAcentral.
ACAGUCACACAUUAGACUACCCGGUACGUCCCAGCCCUAAACGAUGCGCGUUAGGUGUAUCGGUGACCACGAGUCACCGAGGUGCCGAAGGGAAACCGUGAAACGUGCCGCCUGGGAAGUACGGUCGCAAGGCUGAAAACUUAAAGGAAUUGGCGGGGAGCACCACAAGAGGUGGAGGCUGCGGUUCAAUUGGACUCAACGCCGGAAAACUCAUCGGGAGCGACAGCAGUAUGAUUGCCAGGUUGAUGACCUUGCUUGACAAGCUG